RNAcentral lists this ribosomal RNA (465 nucleotides) under uncultured bacterium. Its description in RNAcentral is "partial 16S ribosomal RNA". It matches the Rfam family "Bacterial small subunit ribosomal RNA", at positions 28 to 507 of the family's 1533-position model. The record is from RNAcentral.
GACGAACGCUGGCGGCGUGCUUAACACAUGCAAGUCGAACGGAAAGGCCCUGCUUGCCGGGUACUCGAGUGGCGAACGGGUGAGUGACACGUGGGUGAUCUGCCCUGCACUUCGGGAUAAGCCUGGGAAACUGGGUCUAAUACCGGAUAGGAGCCAUUUUUAGUGUGAUGGUUGGAAAGUUUUUUCGGUGUAGGAUGAGCUCGCGGCCUAUCAGCUUGUUGGUGGGGUAAUGGCCUACCAAGGCGGCGACGGGUAGCCGGCCUGAGAGGGUGGACGGCCACAUUGGGACUGAGAUACGGCCCAGACUCCUACGGGAGGCAGCAGUGGGGAAUAUUGCACAAUGGGCGCAAGCCUGAUGCAGCGACGCCGCGUGGGGGAUGACGGCCUUCGGGUUGUAAACUCCUUUCGCUAGGGACGAAGCUUUUUGUGACGGUACCUAGAUAAGAAGCACCGGCUAACUACGUG